GAUAGGCUCAGGACGAACGCUGGCGGCGCGCCUAACACAUGCAAGUCGAACGAGAGAUGAGGAGCUUGCUCUUCAAAUCGAGUGGCGAACGGGUGAGUAACGCGUGAGGAACCUGCCUCAAAGAGGGGGACAACAGUUGGAAACGACUGCUAAUACCGCAUAAGCCCACGGCUCGGCAUCGAGCAGAGGGAAAAGGAGUGAUCCGCUUUGAGAUGGCCUCGCGUCCGAUUAG
Molecule: ribosomal RNA, 232 nt
Filed under: uncultured bacterium
Lineage: Bacteria
Description: partial 16S ribosomal RNA
Rfam family: Bacterial small subunit ribosomal RNA
Source: RNAcentral